UUAUAUCAAGGGUUCUUCAUAAUUGAGGUAGAACACUAUUUUAAAGUUGAAUGAUUGGAAAACUCUAAUUAAUCCUUUAAAAUAGUGUGUUUAUGUUUUCUCAUCAAUUAAAAUAUUUUCUUUAACCAUAUAGAUGAGUUUUUUAGUAUUUUCUAGAAAGGGGUGCAAAUAAGCUAGACUUUGGUGCAAAAAGUGUGAAAGCCAAAUAAAAUCCACCAUAAGUCACAAAAAGCACCACGAAGGCUAACUUGAAUAAGCCCAGUCGAUUGG
This 270-nucleotide long non-coding RNA is filed under the name Lathyrus oleraceus (garden pea). Its description in RNAcentral is "Pisum sativum (pea) long non-coding RNA (PSAT_LNC009502)". The record is from RNAcentral. Lineage: Eukaryota; Viridiplantae; Streptophyta; Magnoliopsida; Fabales; Fabaceae.